This 468-nucleotide ribosomal RNA is filed under the name uncultured bacterium. Its description in RNAcentral is "partial 16S ribosomal RNA". It matches the Rfam family "Bacterial small subunit ribosomal RNA", at positions 28 to 507 of the family's 1533-position model. The record is from RNAcentral.
GACGAACGCUGGCGGCGUGCUUAACACAUGCAAGUCGAACGGAAAGGCCCUGCUUUUGUGGGGUGCUCGAGUGGCGAACGGGUGAGUAACACGUGAGUAACCUGCCCUUGACUUUGGGAUAACUUCAGGAAACUGGGGCUAAUACCGGAUAGGAGCUCCUGCUGCAUGGUGGGGGUUGGAAAGUCUCGGCGGUUGGGGAUGGACUCGCGGAUUAUCAGCUUGUUGGUGGGGUAGUGGCUUACCAAGGCUUUGACGGGUAGCCGGCCUGAGAGGGUGACCGGCCACAUUGGGACUGAGAUACGGCCCAGACUCCUACGGGAGGCAGCAGUGGGGAAUAUUGCACAAUGGGCGGAAGCCUGAUGCAGCAACGCCGCGUGCGGGAUGACGGCCUUCGGGUUGUAAACCGCUUUCGCCUGUGACGAAGCGUGAGUAACGGUAAUGGGUAAAGAAGCACCGGCUAACUACGUG